AAUUGGUCCAAAGGUAGUGAGUUAUCUCACCUGAUUGCUUGCUCACAGUCAGUUACAGAUUGAACUCCUUGUUCUACUCUUCCCCACUUCUCACUACUGCACAAAUGGACUAUGAG
This is an unclassified non-coding RNA of Otolemur garnettii (small-eared galago), 116 nucleotides long. It matches the Rfam family "Y RNA". Rfam says of the family: Y RNAs are components of the Ro ribonucleoprotein particle (Ro RNP), in association with Ro60 and La proteins. The Y RNAs and Ro60 and La proteins are well conserved, but the function of the Ro RNP is not known. The record is from Ensembl. Lineage: Eukaryota; Metazoa; Chordata; Mammalia; Primates; Galagidae.